AGCGGGAGGCCUAACACAUGCAAGCCGAGCGGUAUUGUUUCUUCGGAAAUGAGAGAGCGGCGUACGGGUGCGGAACACGUGUGCAACCUGCCUUUAUCUGGGGGAUAGCCUUUCGAAAGGAAGAUUAAUACUCCAUAACAUAUUGAUUGGCAUCAAUUAAUAUUGAAAGCUCCGGCGGAUAGAGAUGGGCACGCGCAAGAUUAGCUAGUUGGUGAGGUAACGGCUCACCAAGGCGAUGAUCUUUAGGGGGCCUGAGAGGGUGAUCCCCCACACUGGUACUGAGACACGGACCAGACUCCUACGGGAGGCAGCAGUGAGGAAUAUUGGUCAAUGGGUGCAAGCCUGAACCAGCCAUCCCGCGUGAAGGACGACUGCCCUAUGGGUUGUAAACUUCUUUUGUAUAGGGAUAAACCUACCCUCGUGAGGGUAGCUGAAGGUACUAUACGAAUAAGCACCGGCUAACUCCGUGCCAGCAGCCGCGGUAAU
This 486-nucleotide ribosomal RNA is filed under the name uncultured bacterium. RNAcentral's name for it is "bacterial SSU rRNA". It matches the Rfam family "Bacterial small subunit ribosomal RNA", at positions 39 to 524 of the family's 1533-position model. The record is from RNAcentral.